GUGGGGAAUAUUGCACAAUGGGGGAAACCCUGAUGCAGCAACGCCGCGUGAGUGAAGAAGUAUUUCGGUAUGUAAAGCUCUAUCAGCAGGGAAGAAGAUGACGGUACCUGAGUAAGAAGCCCCGGCUAACUACGUGCCAGCAGCCGCGGUAAUACGUAGGGGGCAAGCGUUAUCCGGAUUUACUGGGUGUAAAGGGAGCGUAGACGGUCAUGCAAGUCUGGAGUGAAAGGCGGGGGCCCAACCCCCGGACUGCUCUGGAAACUGUAAGACUAGAGUACAGGAGGGGUAAGCGGAAUUCCUAGUGUAGCGGUGAAAUGCGUAGAUAUUAGGAGGAACACCAGUGGCGAAGGCGGCUUACUGGACUGAAACUGACGUUGAGGCUCGAAAGCGUGGGGAGCAAACAGG
RNAcentral lists this ribosomal RNA (405 nucleotides) under uncultured bacterium. Its description in RNAcentral is "bacterial SSU rRNA". It matches the Rfam family "Bacterial small subunit ribosomal RNA", at positions 354 to 776 of the family's 1533-position model. The record is from RNAcentral.